RNAcentral lists this ribosomal RNA (242 nucleotides) under uncultured Paludibacter sp. RNAcentral describes it as "partial 16S ribosomal RNA". It matches the Rfam family "Bacterial small subunit ribosomal RNA", at positions 796 to 1041 of the family's 1533-position model. Lineage: Bacteria; Pseudomonadati; Bacteroidota; Bacteroidia; Bacteroidales; Paludibacteraceae. The record is from RNAcentral.
CACGCAGUAAACGAUGAAUACUAGCUGUAUGCGAUAUACUGUAUGUGGCAAAGCGAAAGCAUUAAGUAUUCCACCUGGGGAGUACGUUCGCAAGAAUGAAACUCAAAGGAAUUGACGGGGGCCCGCACAAGCGGAGGAACAUGUGGUUUAAUUCGAUGAUACGCGAGGAACCUUACCCGGGCUUGAAAUGCAUCUGACGAACCUGGAAACAGGUUUUCUAGCAAUAGCAGAUGUGUAGGUGC